CAGUAGCCGCGGGAAUACGGAAGGUCCAGGUGUUAUCCGGAUUUAUUGGGUUUAAAGGGAGCGUAGGCCGCAGGUUAAGUGUGUUGUGAAAAGCAGUCGCCCAACGUCUGCCUUGCAGCGCAAACUGUCCUGCUUGAGUGCGCACAACGCAGGCGGAAUUCGUCGUGUAGCGGUGAAAUGCUUAGAUAUGACGAAGAACUCCGAUUGCGAAGGCAGCUUGCGGGAGCGCAACUGACGCUGAAGCUCGAAAGUGCGGGUAUCGAACAGGAUUAGAUACCCCUGUAGUCCCUGUCUCUUAUAC
Molecule: ribosomal RNA, 301 nt
Filed under: uncultured bacterium
Lineage: Bacteria
Description: partial 16S ribosomal RNA
Rfam family: Bacterial small subunit ribosomal RNA
Source: RNAcentral